UUUAUACAGACAAACGGAAAAUGAAAACAGAGGAUCAGAAUUAAUUCUGAAGACAGCUGACCUCAUGAGCAAGUUUCUGUGCCUUUAUUCACAUCACUUGUUCCUCCCUGUGUACCACCCUCGGAACCAUGUGGAAUAGUUCUUGAAAAUCGGAUAAAAGGGGGGAGAAAUCUGCAAUUAAAACAAGGAGAUACGCUCUUAAUGGAGAAGAACACAGCCAAUGAGGCCACGCUUUCCUGUCUCCAGAGCUACUAAAAUAA
Long non-coding RNA from Athene cunicularia (burrowing owl), 260 nucleotides. RefSeq lists it as uncharacterized. Lineage: Eukaryota; Metazoa; Chordata; Aves; Strigiformes; Strigidae. The record is from RefSeq and is a predicted model, not a curated record. The transcript has 2 exons.